CCUACGGGGGGCAGUAGUGAGGAAUAUUGGUCAAUGGGCGAGAGCCUGAACCAGCCAAGUCGCGUGAGGGAGUACUGCCCUAUGGGUUGUAAACCUCUUUUGUCGGGGAGCAAAAGCCGGACGUGUCCGGCUGUGAGAGUACCCGAAGAAAAAGCAUCGGCUAACUCCGUGCCAGCAGCCGCGGUAAUACGGAGGAUGCGAGCGUUAUCCGGAUUUAUUGGGUUUAAAGGGUGCGCAGGCGGAUUUUUAAGUCAGCGGUAAAAUCGUGGGGCUCAACCCCAUCCAGCCGUUGAAACUGGGGAUCUAGAGUGUGCGAGAGGUAUGCGGAAUGCGUGGUGUAGCGGUGAAAUGCAUAGAUAUCACGCAGAACCCCGAUUGCGAAGGCAGCAUACCGGUGCACAACUGACGCUCAGGCACGAAAGCGUGGGUAUCGAACAGGAUUAGAUACCCUGGUAGUC
Molecule: ribosomal RNA, 458 nt
Filed under: uncultured bacterium
Lineage: Bacteria
Description: partial 16S ribosomal RNA
Rfam family: Bacterial small subunit ribosomal RNA
Source: RNAcentral